This 1227-nucleotide long non-coding RNA is filed under the name Fukomys damarensis (Damara mole-rat). RNAcentral's name for it is "lncRNA (ENSFDAG00000021903.1)". Lineage: Eukaryota; Metazoa; Chordata; Mammalia; Rodentia; Bathyergidae. The record is from RNAcentral.
AGUCUCUUCACUGUAAAGAUUUCGGGAAGAAUUACUCAGAGCUCAUUCUCCCACUUACCUUUCCAUCUUCAGCCCCAUUCGGUAUGUUUUGCGUCCCUGCAGAUGGUUUCUGUGGUUAGGAUCUCAUCAACCCCGGGUAGGCUUUUCUACCUCUAUAUCAACAGUGUCAAGUCAGGAAAUAGCAGCUACAUAAGUUGUUGAAACAAAGGGCAUUUAACAGAAAGAACUGGUUCCAAGGUCCUGGCAGGCUGACAGAACAGAGGCUCCUAAGGAUGAAAUAUCAAGAACUCUAGGGCAGCUACCACUCAGGGGAUGGGAACUAAGGGAGAGAGAAUGGGUUUUCAAAACCUGAUUCAGGGGAGGGACCCGGGCGGGUUGGUUCUGGGAUCUCUAAGGAAGGGAUGUGAAGCGUGGCCGGGGAUUUAGCUCAGUGGUUCCGCUGCCUGUCUCCCAAACACAAGGUUCCGAGUUCGAUCCCUGGUACCAAAAAGAGAAAAAGAAUGGGCCGUGGCCUGGUACCCAGAGAGACGGCCCUGUGGGUGUGGCCCCUGAACCGUUAGCUCCAGCCCGAGCUGGACACCUCUCUGUGCUGGUUCCUCAUCCCAGCUAACGCCCUGGCGCAGCUUCCGUGCUCUUAGAAGCACUGCGGUUCGUGGCGCCCCCUGGCGGUCCCUUGGCCGUGGCGCUUUACAGCAGGAGGGGGAGGACCUGUAUGACUUGGGCCCGGGACCUUGGCUGACUUUCCCGGCUGACCCAAGAGACAAAGGGAGGCGGGUCGGCUCGGAGGGGUGGAGGGACGCCCGGAGGGGUGGGUGGACUCUCAGAGGGGUGGACUCCCGGAGGGGUGGGUGGACGCCCGGAGGGGUGGGUGGACUCUCGGAGGAGUGGACUCCCACUGCGGCCGGGAGGGGCAGCUUCCGUGCUCAGGGCCAUCCCCAGUCCCCCACGGGCUUUGCCAUCACUUCUGCUUGAAGCUGCUUCGGGCCUCUCUCUUCAGUCAUGAAGUUCCUGCUGCUGACGCUGGCUGUGCUACUGCUUAUGUCCCAGCUCAUCCCAGUGAAAUCCCUGGGUUUGAUCUCCAGCACAACAAGAAAAGAAAAGACUAGAGGUUACUCUCUGCAGAUUCUGGCCAAGUUACCUUCUUUGAACUUCAGUUUCUGUCUCCUUUGCUGGGUACGACCACUAGGGGCGCCCCUUGAUUCCACAGUGACCCAGAACUGCUUCCAA